AUCUCUAAUAUUCUUUGGUCUAAAACUGGCAGCAGCUGGUGAUCCAGAGGUCUCAUGGCAGAAUGAAGGAAUUUACCAAAGCCAAGCCCUUGGACACUGGGCCCAUCUGUUUCUUUGAUCAGUUGAAACCUGAAUGGAAAGAUGGGAAAAGAUAACCUGUGAAGAAAGUUAUCCUACCCAAAAUGCACCUCAAGAGCUAAGUGUUGGAUCUUUCAACAUCCUUACUCAAAAUGGGAAAUUCUGAAGUGGAAGACAGUCCCCAGUAUAGCUGUGAAGAGACUACAAGUAGCCAUAAUUCAAAUAAAAAUAGAAGAAGCAAAGCAAAAAAAAAAGAGGGCGUCAACAAACAACUUAUCCGGUGCCACUAUGAGGACCUGGAAGGCGUGGAGGAGAGCAGGGAUCAGCAGUGCUCACAGAGUUUCCGGCUGGAGCUGCUGGAGAAGAUGCCUCAGAUGCCAAUUGUCAGAAAGGCUGACCCCAACAUGAAAAAAUUCCAUUAAGCUCUGGUGGAUGGCUCCUCUCUGACCUAUCGUUCAACAGUUUCGAAAGACAGAUGAGCAAGCAUGAUGUAAUUUUACGGCAUUUUAAUUGAACAUCUUAUUCUGUGACACUACAGACGAGAUGGAAAAGUAAUCAUGGCUUUCACGAAGAAAAAAUGGAUUUCACUUGAUAUUCCAGGGAUUGUUAAAGUUAGGUUCUUUUGACACUGUUUCUGACGAACAGUAGCAGUGAUGUUUAAUCAGGACAGAGGCCUGGUGAUCAGCAGAAAAGGAAACAUCAUAAGGGAAUGGACCUGGCCUUCAAAGGGAAUACUUGAUAAUCCAGAGGAAAUUUGGGAUUAAUUCAAGCACUUCUGAGCUGCCAGUCUGAGUAAAUAGGUUCAUCACUGUGAAGAUUUCUGGACGUUCUGCCACCACCUUGGUCUACAAGUGGCAUUCCCAAAGCCUGAAGCUAUCUUUGGCACCUGUAAAAUGCCAGCCUUUCCCUCCAUGCCUACCCAAGGUGGUGUUUCUAGAACUAUGGGCUUGUAAGCUGCUGAGCUAGGUUUCACCUGCAGAUACAAAGAAGCUGGUUCACCUGCAGAUACAGAGAAACUGGGUGGAUGGGAGGGUAGAAUCACAGGGUUGGCAGUCAGUGCCACUGCCACUGGGAGCUGAGUUAUGACUGUUAGCCAGUGGGCCCCAUUCUCCUUAUAAAGGCCUCUCCACAUAGUUGCUCAGGUUUCCCCACAACAUGGUGUCUGUUUGAAGAAGGAAAACUCCGAGAGGUGAAGAUGGAAACUAUACAUCUCUUAAUGCCUGGCCUCAAAAGUUACACAGUCGGCCAUUUUUCAAAGCCUGUCACAGGCCAGCCCAGAUUCAAGGGGAACAGAAAUAUCCUUCCAUCUCUUGAUGGGUAGAGUGGCAAAGAAUACACAGCCAUUUUCAAUCCACCAGAAGAACAUUUGAAGAAAAAGAUGAAAAUUUCAGAGUCAUUCAGAUUCCUUUCGGUUGCUCAAAUAUAACAUUGUGUCUGCUUCUAAAUUCAUGGGCAGCAAUUGUCCUCUUCUUGUUCAAAGGCACAAUAUCAUCCCAGGAAUUUUUUUGCAAUCCAGGGGGUAGGUACUAAUUUUAUCCCUGAUAAUAGAGGUGGAAACUGAGACACAGGUUAAUUUAUCUAAGGUCAAGGAGCUCGCAUGUGGUGGGAUCAGAAUUCAAAUCCAGAUUUUCUCACUAUGAACAGAGACUGCUUUUAAUCAAAAUUCUGCAAGAGUUUCUACAAGGUGAAGUCUCAGCCCCCACUUCCUCGGACAUGCUCAUAAGAAGUGUAAAGUGAUCCCAGAUGAAUGCUUUCAGCUUGCUGAUGAGUUCCAGCUGGGGAGAAGAAAUAAUUCAAACGUACAUUUAGCAAGAAAGCACAGAGCCUACCUCAAUAUGCAAAGGAAUCCAGCUUGUUUCAAGUGUCAAGUGACAGUUUAGACAAGAGAAAAGGACUCGGUACAAAUGAGAUGGGACAGAGGUUGCAUCCCGUGUGUGUCUUCUGAGAUAUAUACAAAAUAGAGAAAGAAAGACUAACUCAUCCACU
Molecule: small RNA, 2064 nt
Filed under: Pongo abelii (Sumatran orangutan)
Lineage: Eukaryota; Metazoa; Chordata; Mammalia; Primates; Hominidae
Description: processed transcript
Source: RNAcentral